This 89-nucleotide transfer RNA is filed under the name Bacteroidetes bacterium GWF2_35_48. RNAcentral describes it as "tRNA-Leu". It matches the Rfam family "tRNA". From Rfam's summary of the family: Transfer RNA (tRNA) molecules are approximately 80 nucleotides in length. Their secondary structure includes four short double-helical elements and three loops (D, anti-codon, and T loops). Further hydrogen bonds mediate the characteristic L-shaped molecular structure. tRNAs have two regions of fundamental functional importance: the anti-codon, which is responsible for specific mRNA codon recognition, and the 3' end, to which the tRNAs corresponding amino acid is attached (by aminoacyl-tRNA synthetases). tRNAs cope with the degeneracy of the genetic code in two manners: having more than one tRNA (with a specific anti-codon) for a particular amino acid; and 'wobble' base-pairing, i.e. permitting non-standard base-pairing at the 3rd anti-codon position. RNAcentral also lists the same sequence under 2 other names. Lineage: Bacteria; Pseudomonadati; Bacteroidota. The record is from RNAcentral.
GCCCAGGUGGCGGAAUUGGUAGACGCGCUGGACUUAAAAUCCAGUGACCAGCAACGGUCGUGCCGGUUCGAUUCCGGCUCCGGGUACCA